Molecule: ribosomal RNA, 253 nt
Filed under: uncultured prokaryote
Description: partial 16S ribosomal RNA
Rfam family: Bacterial small subunit ribosomal RNA
Source: RNAcentral
UACGGAGGGUGCGAGCGUUAUUCGGAAUUACUGGGCGUAAAGCGCGUGUAGGCGGGGGGACAAGUCUGAUGUGAAAGCCCUGGGCUUAACCUGGGAAGUGCAUUGGAAACUGUUUUUCUUGAGUACUGGAGAGGAAGGGGGAAUUCCCGGUGUAGAGGUGAAAUUCGUAGAGAUCGGGAGGAAUACCAGUGGCGUAGGCGCCCUUCUGGACGGUAACUGACGCUGAGACGCGAAAGCGUGGGGAGCAAACAGG